CCACACAUUACCACCGACCUAAGGAGGUGACAAAUCCCCUACCCUGCUACAGCAAGGAAAGCAGAGUUAUUCAAACUCCUCCAUACAUCAACGGACAACACGGAGGCAGGGGAAGGCCCAGCUACAUCAACUCAGGUGACACCCAGGCUAUGCUAGCCUCACUCAUAAACUCAUGAGCCAAAAAAUUUUAUGACAGACUGGCAAUCUCGAGUUGGUCACCACAGCCCUCACAAGGCUGGGCCUCACGUUACUGUACAACCAGCACCAACCGAAACUCGGUUACCUGGUACAAUCAAUUCUUAUGACACACAAGAUGUUAACCCUGCACGUAUGAUCCCAGCACAUUGGGGAAGCAAGGCAUAUAUAUGUAUGAUGAUGUAUCUGUGAUGGUCAGAUUCAGGGAUUCCAGGUAAAUCGGGAACUGACCAUCUCUUGGAUGGGUUGGUAUUUGGAAUAUGUAGAGAUGUUUAUUUGUGCAGGUACCCAUACAGAAGGGGUUCUGUCCCAAACAAAUGGACGAGCACUCUCAGGCUCCAGGUACC
Pelobates cultripes (western spadefoot toad) is the source of this 542-nucleotide non-coding RNA. NCBI's taxonomy places the organism in Eukaryota, Metazoa, Chordata, Amphibia, Anura, Pelobatidae. The record is from the annotation of a GenBank genome assembly.